AUACGUUUGUUCUCUUUCGAAAUUACUCAUUUUUUGUUUAAUUAAUUGUAUUAGUUGAAUAAAUGUAUACAAAAUAUGUGUACUGCGCAUGCCAUAAGUGUAUAAUCUAUGGCGCAUGCGUCAACUAUAAUGCCUAAACUUUCUACGCGGUUUUAAUCGUGAAAAAAAAACAAUUAUAAAUCCUGAAGGAUCAAUUAAUUGGUAUACAGUUUAAUUAAAAAAAUUAAAAACAAAAUAAAUAAAAUAAUGUGCAUUCGCGUAAAGUUAGACCAAAUACAUUUUUCCAUCCUCCUAUAUACCUAUCGCUAUGAAGGUAUAAAAAAGAUAGGUUAAGAGUUCACAUAGGUAAUAUAAACCAAUAAGUAAAUAUGUUCAUUAUUUAUCUUUCAAGAGAUAAUGUAGGUAUACAUUAAAAUAACAUUUUGACACAGUCGAAAUUAUAUUCCUAACAUUAGUAAAAUAACAUUUUAAUAAUUUUUUUAUAGGUUAUGUAUUGAAAUUGUUGGAAAAUUAUUUCAUGUUUUAGCUGGAAAACUACAUGGAGAAUUAUAUGCAAUACAAGAUAAUGAGCUCCAUUAAAUGAAUUCGAAUGAAACCAAACUGUUUACCAUCCAAAUUCGAUUGUCGGGCAGAUAGAAAACGAAAAUUCACUCAUAGUGAACCUCGGCCUACAUUUGUGAAACGGCAAAGACUCACUAUUAUCAAGGAAAUUGAAGAGACAACUAAAAAUGAGAUGUGUCGUAUUAUUAUACUUUUGCCAUCUUGUAGUCAAGAUGUCCAGCCACUUGAAAAUAGGUGUAGUAAUGACAAAGCUAUCCAUGUAGCUCCAGCACAGGAACACAAAGGCAAGGCAAGUGUGUAUUGCCACAUCACCCCUUAAUAUAUCUGAAGCAAGUAUAAGUAAACAAUCAGAACCAGCAAAAAAAAAACUGUUGUUCCUGAGGACAAAUUUGACAGUGAUGAGUCAAAUGCACCAGCAACAGAAGGAUCAACUGUUGACUAUGAGUUAUCUCUCUAUAUCUCCACUCCAUCAAAGACUUGUGCACUUCAGACUAUAGUUCUCAAGAAGACUAAAAAGUUGAAAAAAUGAAUGUGUUAACAACUUUAUCUAAAGUGAAAAAUGAACAACGUUUAUAUAUUGGUCUUCCACAAGAAUUAUGUUUCAUAAUAGGCUUGAUUGAGAAACAUACAAAUGUUUCUGAACAAAAUAUUACAUUAUGUCUGAUGAGAAUAACAUUAAAUAGAACAUUCUCUCAAUUGGCUGAUGAUUUCGAUUUAUCUGUAAGUCAAGCAAGCAAUAUAUUUUUCAACAAACUCCCAGAAAUUGCAAAUGUAAUAUCACCCCUUGUUAGACUAUAAAAAAAACAAUACAAUAAAUAUAUAUGCAGGAAGGAUAAUUGAUGUCAACUUGGUGGAAAAUAGAAAGUUUUUAGAUAGUUUGCCACCUACAAAACUCUUUAAUUAAAUAAGUAAUCCUUACUUAAAUAGGAAGUUUUGUAAGUAUUUUCACUCUUCAUUCAAAAACUACUGAACAGAUUUUAAUAAGACUUUUAUGCUGGUCUUCUAUGGCUAGCAACUCAUUAUUAUUUUGAUUCUGUUUUCCACAAAUGUGCUAAAUAUGGGCUUAUAUAUAUGAAAAGGAAUAAAUAUUAAUGUUAUGUAACCUUUGUACCUGUAUGUUAAGAAUAAUUUUUAAUAAAACAUAAUUUAAAUUGAAA
Long non-coding RNA from Bombyx mori (domestic silkworm), 1718 nucleotides. RefSeq lists it as uncharacterized. Lineage: Eukaryota; Metazoa; Arthropoda; Insecta; Lepidoptera; Bombycidae. The transcript has 2 exons. The record is from RefSeq and is a predicted model, not a curated record.